This 292-nucleotide ribosomal RNA is filed under the name uncultured bacterium. Its description in RNAcentral is "partial 16S ribosomal RNA". It matches the Rfam family "Bacterial small subunit ribosomal RNA", at positions 505 to 796 of the family's 1533-position model. The record is from RNAcentral.
GUGUCAGCAGCCGCGGUAAUACGUAGGUGGCAAGCGUUGUCCGGAUUUACUGGGCGUAAAGGAUGCGUAGGCGGAUAUUUAAGUCAGAUGUGAAAUACCCGAGCUUAACUUGGGUGCUGCAUUUGAAACUGGAUAUCUAGAGUGUGGGAGAGGAAAGUGGAAUUCCUAGUGUAGCGGUGAAAUGCGUAGAGAUUAGGAAGAACACCAGUGGCGAAGGCGACUUUCUGGACCAUAACUGACGCUGAGGCAUGAAAGCGUGGGGAGCAAACAGGAUUAGAAACCCCCGUAGUCC